Molecule: microRNA precursor, 124 nt
Filed under: Mustela putorius furo (domestic ferret)
Lineage: Eukaryota; Metazoa; Chordata; Mammalia; Carnivora; Mustelidae
Description: miRNA (ENSMPUG00000022074.1)
Source: RNAcentral
CCCCGUUGGAUUUGGAUUCUGGAUAAGCAACAAAUGCUUUUCCCCGGCAUCAGAUCCCCAUGCAGUAUUUGGGACAUAUUUGUGCUAAAAUGAAUACGGGACGUGUUGCUGAAAGUCAAAGUGA